UAUUGGGCGUAAAGGGCUCGCAGGCGGUUUCUUAAGUCUGAUGUGAAAGCCCCCGGCUCAACCGGGGAGGGUCAUUGGAAACUGGGGAACUUGAGUGCAGAAGAGGAGAGUGGAAUUCCACGUGUAGCGGUGAAAUGCGUAGAGAUGUGGAGGAACACCAGUGGCGAAGGCGACUCUCUGGUCUGUAACUGACGCUGAGGAGCGAAAGCGUGGGGAGCGAACAGGAUUAGAUACCCUGGUAGUCCACGCCGUAAACGAUGAGUGCUAAGUGUUAGGGGGUUUCCGCCCCUUAGUGCUGCAGCUAACGCAUUAAGCACUCCGCCUGGGGAGUACGGUCGCAAGACUGAAACUCAAAGGAAUUGACGGGGGCCCGCACAAGCGGUGGAGCAUGUGGUUUAAUUCGAAGCAACGCGAAGAACCUUACCAGGUCUUGACAUCCUCUGACAAUCCUAGAGAUAGGACGUCCCCUUCGGGGGCAGAGUGACAGGUGGUGCAUGGUUGUCGUCAGCUCGUGUCGUGAGAUGUUGGGUUAAGUCCCGCAACGAGCGCAACCCUUGAUCUUAGUUGCCAGCAUUCAGUUGGGCACUCUAAGGUGACUGCCGGUGACAAACCGGAGGAAGGUGGGGAUGACGUCAAAUCAUCAUGCCCCUUAUGACCUGGGCUACACACGUGCUACAAUGGACAGAACAAAGGGCAGCGAACCCGCGAGGUUAAGCCCAAUCCCACAAAUCUGUUCUCAGUUCGGAUCGCAGUCUGCAACUCGACUGCGUGAAGCUGGAAUCGCUAGUAAUCGCGGAUCAGCAUGCCGCGGUGAAUACGUUC
RNAcentral lists this ribosomal RNA (822 nucleotides) under Bacillus amyloliquefaciens. Its description in RNAcentral is "bacterial SSU rRNA". It matches the Rfam family "Bacterial small subunit ribosomal RNA", at positions 552 to 1373 of the family's 1533-position model. Lineage: Bacteria; Bacillati; Bacillota; Bacilli; Caryophanales; Bacillaceae. The record is from RNAcentral.